This 355-nucleotide unclassified non-coding RNA is filed under the name Hevea brasiliensis (rubber tree). Lineage: Eukaryota; Viridiplantae; Streptophyta; Magnoliopsida; Malpighiales; Euphorbiaceae. The record is from RNAcentral.
AGAUGCAAGUUGAGUUCCACCUCCAACAGUACCAACCUCAAUGGAAGGCAUUGUGACAGAGAUGUGCAAAUCUUUUCCGUUGUUAACAGGUUCCAUCAUGGUGAUGCAAUGAGAACUCUCCACAUUUUGUGCUGGAUCUUGGCCAGUUGCUAAGAAAAUUGCAGAUACAAUAUUGCUGGAAUGAGCAUUAAAACCACCGAGGGCGCCAGCCAUUGCAGAUCCAGUUAGAUUCUUAAGCAUGUUGAGCUCUACUAGACUUGCAACACUGGUUUUCAACACCUUCCUCACCACCUCAUCCUUUAUUAUUGCCUCACAAACCACAGACUUUCCUCGUCCUUCAAUCCAAUUUACAGCA